GGCGAUAGCUCAGUUGGUAAAGCGUCGGUCUCAUAACCAUAGAAUCGCAGGUUCAAU
RNAcentral lists this transfer RNA (57 nucleotides) under Chattonella subsalsa. RNAcentral describes it as "partial tRNA". The record is from RNAcentral. Lineage: Eukaryota; Raphidophyceae; Chattonellales; Chattonellaceae.